ACAGUAGCUGCCAUUUUUUGCUGAAAUUGUUGUCGACUGUAAUGAUAUAGGUAUCUGAACCAUAAUUCCUUAUGAAUAUUUCUCAUUGUAAACUUAAUAUACAUUUUGACGUGAAAUACCCUAUAUGUUUCUGUAGAUUUGAUUUUUCAACGAUGCAGUUGAUGUAUUGCCCCCAGUAGUCCAGUUUCCACAAUGAUAAGUACUUCGACACAUUUUCCAUCCACCUACGGCUGGUGUUUAUGUUGAAAUCACUUUUGGCUUGGUUCUGGAUAUGGGGAACUAUUAAUGUAGCAAUGGAUGCAAGAAUGGUCUAUUGAAGUUCAUUUUCACACCCUUGAAUAAUGGACAAGACAUGCUAACAAGUCUGGAAAAAGCAUUUGGGGAAUGAGAAAGAACUACUUCUCUUAAAUCUACAAAUGAGUGGUAUUUCCUUUUGGUAGUGCAAGUACCUGUUGUGGCCAUGUUUUCUUUGUGCUGCUGCGGACCAUGUCUCGAGAAUGUCCAUGAGCUGCUUAUGUAGAUGUUGCUUUUGCUGUUACUACCUUCUAUUGCUCUUCAUAGAACGUUCUUCUAUUUCUCUGAUUCUAUAUCAGCUUUGCUGCUAAGUUUGUAGUUGUAUGUGCUUUAUCCGAGUUUCAACCUAGCAACAUCAUUUUGUAAAGUGUAACAAAUGUAUUAUUCUAUUGAAAAUU
Lolium perenne is the source of this 692-nucleotide non-coding RNA. The record is from RefSeq and is a predicted model, not a curated record. NCBI's taxonomy places the organism in Eukaryota, Viridiplantae, Streptophyta, Magnoliopsida, Poales, Poaceae.